This 287-nucleotide long non-coding RNA is filed under the name Trifolium pratense (red clover). Its description in RNAcentral is "long non-coding RNA (TPRA_LNC012332)". The record is from RNAcentral. Lineage: Eukaryota; Viridiplantae; Streptophyta; Magnoliopsida; Fabales; Fabaceae.
GGGAGCCUGAUGAUGAAGAAUUUCCAAGAUCUCCUUCGUCUGAGAAAGAAGAAUCUCAAGCAUCUGAACUUUCCAGUAUUGAUUCGAAGGAUGAAGGAACUAAGGAACAGGAUAAACCCUAAGUGGUUAUCCUGCAACAUUCAACCAUUCUUGUAUUUUCUUGAACAUUCUUGAAUGUUUGGUUGUAAUGUUGAUUUUAAUGAAUAAACAUCUGUUUUCUUGGCAAUUUUCUUUACCAUUUUGCACCUUUAAUUCUUGAACUAUUCAUUCUUUAUGCAUACUUCUUG